Molecule: ribosomal RNA, 921 nt
Filed under: Prorocentrum emarginatum
Lineage: Eukaryota; Dinophyceae; Prorocentrales; Prorocentraceae
Description: partial large subunit ribosomal RNA
Rfam family: Eukaryotic large subunit ribosomal RNA
Source: RNAcentral
UCCGAAGAACUUAAACAGGAUCCCCUCUGUAAUGGCGAAUGAACAGGGGCCAGCUCACGGUGGAAAUUGGGGCCUGCUAGGCCUUGAGUUGUAGUCUGUAGCUGCGUUGCCAAUGGAGGCGCACUUGUGAGCCCCUUGGAAGAGAGCACCGACGAGGGUGGGAGUCCCAUCUGUCAUUUGCAGACCUCUGUGCACGGCACGCCUUCGAGGAGUCGCGUUCUUCGGACGUGGAACGUGAAUUGGGUGGUAGAUUUCAUCUCAAGCUAAAUACUGAUUCAAGACCGAUAGAAGACAAGUACCGUGAGGGAAAGGUGAAAAGGACUUUGAAAAGAGAGUUAAAAGUGCCUGAAAUUGCUGGAAAGGAAACAAAUGUAACCAUAGCUGCUUGGCAAGAUUGUCGUGCGCCAAGGCAUCCCCAAGCGCGCGCGGUGCUUCUUACCUUGUGCGUCCACAUUACUUCAUGGCCAGGGAAACCUCAAGGCACGUGGUGGGCCUUCCUCCAAGGAGUGCGAAUGUGCUUGUGAAUCCCUGGCUGUGAGGGGCUAGCUUGCAUGUCUGGUCGCAACUUACCUGGGCCCUGACGCCCAAGCAGCUGACGGAAUGGUUCCUUCUGACCCGUCUUGAAACACGGACCAAGGAGUCUAACGUACGUGCGAGUUCGCGGGUGACGAAAGCCUGCUUGCGAAGUGAAAGCGAUGGCUGGGACAUUCGUGCCAGUGGCCAACCAAUCAAUUGCGAGAGGCUUGAGCACAAGCACAUCUGUUGGGUCCCGAAAGAUGGUGAACUAUGCUUGAGAAGGGCAAACUCAGGGGAAACUCUGAUGGAGGCUCGUAGCGAUACUGACGUGCAAAUCGUUCGUCGGACUUGGGAAAUAGGGGCGAAAGACUAAUCGAACCAUCUAGUAGUGUUUCCCCUCUCCGA